This 115-nucleotide small RNA is filed under the name Staphylococcus aureus. Its description in RNAcentral is "Transcript". The record is from RNAcentral. Lineage: Bacteria; Bacillati; Bacillota; Bacilli; Caryophanales; Staphylococcaceae.
CAUCUCUAAAAUAGCUAAAAAGUGAGUGACUACUUGUUCAAUUGGCUCAGAAAACGUAAACAGACUAAAGAAGUUAAAAUGAUCUUUAUCUUUCAAUCUCGAUGUCACUUGUUCU